AGGCGUCCAUGUGAUUCAUAAUAUUCUUGCAGGUUGAUGUUGGCAAGAGGCCGGUGACUGGACUUCGUUUGUACCUUGAAGGUAGAAGGAGUAACCGCUUAGCCGUCCAUUUACAGCAUCUUUCAUCUCUUCCUAAAGUCUUCCAACUUGAAGAUGAUCCAAAAGGCAACUUUCGCCGAGAAUCAUAUGAUCGCAAAUACUAUGAAAAAGUUCAAUGGAAGAACUUUUCUCACGUUUGCACCGCACCUGUUGAAUCUGAUGAAGACCUUAACAUAGUUACUGGAGCACAAUUGGAAUUAGGGGAUUAUGGGUUUAAAAAGGUCCUCUUUCUGAGACUCCGUUUCUCGACUGUCAUGGGAGCUACUAUGGUAAAGCACGCUGAGUGGGAUGGUUCCCCUGGGUUGGCUCGCAAAUCUGGCCUGAUAUCAACUCUCAUUAGCCAGCACUUUACAUCAGUUCAGAAGCCACCUCCUCGGCCAGAUGAUGUGAACAUAAAUUCUGCCAUUUACCCUGGUGGUCCUCCAGUUCCUGUGCAAGCCCCUAAGCUCUUGAAAUUUGUCGAUACUACUGAGAUGACUCGAGGACCACAGGAACCUCCUGGUUAUUGGGUUGUUUCAGGUGCAAGGCUUAUGGUUGAGAAAGGAAGGAUCUCUGUGAGGGUCAAAUAUUCCUUGCUAACUGUAAUACAACCCGAUGAUGAAAUAUCAGAGUAAUUUAGAAGAGGUUCUCUUUUAUUCAUACUCAAAACAAUGCAAAUGCUACAGGGAGAAGUUGCAGUGUAGUUUGUUGCUGGCUUUCUUGAUGUUGAAACACCUGUUGUACAAAAUCUGGCGGAAGUGCCAAAAAAGGGGAUGAAGCAACUGUUCUCUACUUUGAGAUGUCUCUAAUCUUU
This 892-nucleotide unclassified non-coding RNA is filed under the name Hevea brasiliensis (rubber tree). Lineage: Eukaryota; Viridiplantae; Streptophyta; Magnoliopsida; Malpighiales; Euphorbiaceae. The record is from RNAcentral.